Trichobilharzia regenti is the source of this 49-nucleotide non-coding RNA. Lineage: Eukaryota; Metazoa; Platyhelminthes; Trematoda; Strigeidida; Schistosomatidae. The record is from Rfam.
AUCCAGAUGACGAGUCCCGAAUGGGACGAAAUGCUCAUCCUGACUGGAU